AUGGCUGAAAUCAGUGAUGCCCCAGCAGUUACUUCCGGUGAGCUUGCGGCUGUACUGCGAGCGAUGGAUGAGAAAUACAGGGCUCUGUUUGAUGCAAUCAGCAAGCAAGCUAGCAGCUCCAAAUCAGAGGCUGAAAUAAAGGAGGAGAUACAUCCCUUACAGAUGCCACAUGUGAAGUUAGAGGGUCCUGAGAACUAUGUAAGCUGGGCUGAGCAUGCUGAAACCAUCCUGGUUUCAAGGAAAUUGGAAGGAUACAUCCUUGGGACAGUAGAGAAACCUGAGGAAGAAGGUUCAAAAGAAGGCCAAAAAUGGAGAGCAACCAAUGCUUUGGUCAGGGCAUGGCUUCUGAGUUCGAUGUCUUCUCAGAUUGCAAAGCAGGUUGAGAGAAUCAAAGAUGCUUCAGAGAUUUGGAGGCUCCUGAAAGGCACAUAUUCAGGAGUGGGAAAUGAGAUGUUAGCAUGCAAAAUUCAAAAGGAGUUGCAGGAGCUGAGCCAAGGUGAGAGAACAGUGGUGGAAUAUGUGUCUGAACUUAAAAGGUUGUGGACUGACCUGGACUACUAUGAUCCAGUUGAAAUGGAGUGUGGGAAAUGUAUUGAGAAGCAUAGUAAGUGGACUGAGAGGAGACAUGUUAGAGACUUCCUAAAUGGCCUCCAUCCCAGGUUUCAAAAUAGGAGAGCAGCUCUAUAUGGCAGUGGGAAGCUACCAAGUCUUGAGCAAGCAAUUUCUGCAAUAGCGAGUGAAGAAACUCGGCUAAGGUUGGAGGCAGCAGGAUCGGCUUCACAGGGAGUAACGCAAAGGCACUCAGCUUUCUUGGCUGCAGGAGGUGGAAGAUACCAAAGAACAGGAGCAGGUAACGGUGAAAGAAAAUGUCUUGAAUGUGGAUCACCAGGACAUCUUGUGGCAGGCUGCCCUAAAUUGAUGGGAGGAGGUCGUGGUAGAGGCCAGGACUGGCGAGGUAGAGCCAGAGGCGGAUUAUUUGAUGCAUGUGGUGGCCGUGGGAGAGGCAUGUUGUUUCCCGGAAGAGCAAACACUUCAGCUGCCGAGGAAGUGUCUCAGAAAUUGAGCGUUGAGAUAACCCUCGAUGAGCUAGAGAAGUGGCGUCAAUUCAAGAACCUAAAUCUUGGUGUUGAACUGCCUCAGGAGUCACAUGCAUCAUCCUCUUCAUCAGCAAAUUUUUCUGGAACUUGGAACUGGAAAAGAGAUUGGGAUAGGGAGCAUGCGUGA
This 1224-nucleotide ribosomal RNA is filed under the name Triticum aestivum (bread wheat). RNAcentral describes it as "partial small subunit ribosomal RNA". Lineage: Eukaryota; Viridiplantae; Streptophyta; Magnoliopsida; Poales; Poaceae. The record is from RNAcentral.